GCCACAGCCACCGCAGCCGAGGAAGUUGACUGACGCCGCUUCCUUCCACCCACCUUCAGACCCUAGCACCCCGACUUUAACUGCAACUCCCCCAGGGGCUUGAGGCAGCGAACGAUGCGAAGCUGAUCCCAACACUGGCCUUCUUUUUUCUCACUGCCCUGCGGUGAACAUUCAUGGUAGCCCGAGAAAAAAAGGCGCUGCAUCCCAAGAAGGCCCUGCAAACACACUUCACAGCCCCUGUGCAAGACUCAUACUUCUGCUGGGAUUGCAUCACACACGUAACUCGGCUGUCCCAAGCAGACCCAUGUAACCUCCAUCCACUAUCCCUCACAGUGCCAAAAAGUGGUGUGCCUGUUUCUAGUGGAGGAGAGCCAACAGUCUUAACUCAAGUGUGAAGCUAAUGUGUAACCAAACCAGCCAGCACAGCAAGAUACCCAAGAAGUGAAACAUGAAGAUCACUUUAACCCAAGAACUCAGGACUGGCAGUCAACAAGAAAGAUUGAACACUAAGUUUCUGUUUGAAGGACCAGUUCAUCACACAACUGGAAGAGCCUUGAAUACAUUGUGGGGAAAAUUCUAGACUGUUAUUAUUCUAUUCAUUAAAAAAGUAUUUAGAGUUGGC
Molecule: long non-coding RNA, 622 nt
Organism: Alexandromys fortis (reed vole)
Lineage: Eukaryota; Metazoa; Chordata; Mammalia; Rodentia; Cricetidae
Exons: 4
Source: RefSeq, a predicted model, not a curated record